CCUACGGGAGGCAGCAGUGGGGAAUCUUGCGCAAUGGGCGAAAGCCUGACGCAGCCAUGCCGCGUGAAUGAUGAAGGUCUUAGGAUUGUAAAAUUCUUUCACCGGGGACGAUAAUGACGGUACCCGGAGAAGAAGCCCCGGCUAACUUCGUGCCAGCAGCCGCGGUAAUACGAAGGGGGGCUAGCGUUGCUCGGAAUUACUGGGCGUAAAGGGAGCGUGGGCGGAUAGUUUAGUCAGAGGUGAAAGCCCAGGGCACAACCUUGGAAUUGCCUUUGAUACUGGCUAUCUUGAGUAUGGGAGAGGUUAGCGGAACUCCGAGUGUAGAGGUGAAAUUCGUAGAUAUUCGGAAGAACACCAGUGGCGAAGGCGGCUAACUGGCCCAUUACUGACGCUGAGGCUCGAAAGCGUGGGGAGCAAACAGGAUUAGAUACCCUGGUAGUCCACGCCGUAAACGAUGAGUGCUAGUUGUCGGCAUGCAUGCAUGUCGGUGACGCAGCUACGACAUAAGACACUCCGCCGUGGGAGGUACGGUCGCGAGAUAAACUACAAGAAGUAGACGCGNGAGACGUGCCGAACGGACGACGACGAGGGAGGUAGG
Molecule: ribosomal RNA, 598 nt
Filed under: uncultured bacterium
Lineage: Bacteria
Description: bacterial SSU rRNA
Rfam family: Bacterial small subunit ribosomal RNA (bases 1-518)
Source: RNAcentral